AAGCAGGGGAUCGCAAGACCUUGCGCUUUUGGAGCGGCCGAUGCCUGAUUAGCUAGUUGGUGGGGUAAGGGCUUACCAAGGCGACGAUCAGUAGUUGGUCUGAGAGGACGACCAGCCACACUGGGACUGAGACACGGCCCAGACUCCUACGGGAGGCAGCAGUGGGGAAUUUUGGACAAUGGGCGAAAGCCUGAUCCAGCAAUGCCGCGUGAGUGAAGAAGGCCUUCGGGUUGUAAAGCUCUUUCAGUCGAGAAGAAAAGGUUGUGACUAAUAAUCACAAUUUAUGACGGUAUCGACAGAAGAAGCACCGGCUAACUACGUGCCAGCAGCCGCGGUAAUACGUAGGGUGCAAGCGUUAAUCGGAAUUACUGGGCGUAAAGGGUGCGCAGGCGGCUUUGUAAGUCAGAUGUGAAAUCCCCGGGCUUAACCUGGGAAUUGCGUUUGAAACUACAAAGCUAGAGU
Molecule: ribosomal RNA, 462 nt
Filed under: uncultured ammonia-oxidizing beta proteobacterium
Lineage: Bacteria; Pseudomonadati; Pseudomonadota; Betaproteobacteria
Description: bacterial SSU rRNA
Rfam family: Bacterial small subunit ribosomal RNA
Source: RNAcentral